CCCCUGGAUUCUUCUUUUUCAGGCUGCUGAGCAUCUCUGAGCUGUUAGAUUAUCUCACCAUCCGGGACCUCAGUGUUCUCAUCUGCUAAAUGGAUAUAAUAAUUGUAUCAAUGUCACUGGAUUCUUGUCGAGGUUGGAUACAUGGAUCCAUGAAAAGUGCUCACAGCCGUGAGCCAGCGCUCAGUGAAUAUUGUUUGUUUAUUAGCAUCAUCACAGUUCAGUCACUAUGGGGAGAUCACUGACUUUGGAGUCUGGUAGCCUGCACAUCAAAUUCCCACUUUAUCACUUUAUUAGCUCUGUGGCCUCGGGCGAGCCCUUAACGCUCCCUGGGCCUCUCUCUCUUCAGUCAGUGUCUGUUUAUCUGGUACUUUCUAAAUGUUAGCUGCUAAGCACUUUUCAUGCAGUAUCUGUCAGCUCCCAACAACACCAGGAGAUAGAUUACAGAAUGAGGUUCAGAGAAGUUAAGUGACUUGUCUGAUGUCACACAGCCAGCAGGUGGUGGAACCAGGUUUAAGUCCAGGUCUUUCUUUCUGCUUCCAAAGUCUGUGCUCUUAACCUCCUUGCUAAGGCCCAGAAGUUGCAUUCCCUCCCUUCGAGGGCUCUUAGGAGGUCUGGACAAGACCUGCAAUGUCCAGCACCAUUUACAGGGGCUAGAAUGAAGUGGGUGUUCAAUCCCCCCCGCCAGACAUCCUGACCCAUCACACAUGCCUCGCCUUCCACGUGGCCCCUCGUGGCACCUGCAGCACAGCCCAGGCCUGCGCGCUCCAACCUUCUUGACCUCGUCCCUGCUGAGCUCUCUGCUGCGCUCCUCUCUGCGUUUCUAACCUUUGCCAGUCUUUCUUCACAGUCACAAAUCCUACCGUUUUUCAGGGAGACUCUUCUGGCCCUACCCUGUCUCAAACGAAACCUUCGCCGUUGUGCUUCUUCUGCGUCCUUAGGGGUGCGCCUGUGAACUAGACGUGGAGGUUUAUUGGACGUGUCAGUCCUUCCCGUGUUAGAUUUCAAACUCCAUGAGGCAGGUGUGGCAUUCUCCAUCAUGUGCCCAGCCCUGCAGGAGCGGGUCUGUGAUGCAGAAACAUGGGCAUUUAAUAGAGUCUUAAAUCUGUUCCUUUGGAGCCCACUUGCAUAUACCAUUGCCCAGAAGCGUCCCCCACCCGAUGUUCUCCCUGGUUAAGUAAGCUUCAGAAAGUCUUCUUAUACCCCCAAUCCUGAAGUCAUGUGCAGAGCGGUCUGCACAGGCUUGGAGAAAACCACCACUUGCAUUUUGAACCCAGUUAGCGCCGUUGCCCGUUGACACCCGCUUCCCGUCAGGACCCAUCACUGCUCAGACCUCUUCCCUCGGAAUGCUGGAAGACAUUCCGAGGAGAAGGCUGUCUCGUCCAGUGCUCGUGGAAGGGAUGUGUAACCCUGGGUGGGGAGAGCCAGAGAGAGAGGGAGGGAGGGGGAGAGAGUGCUUCCCCCAACUCAGCUUUCUGGGUGCAGACCUGCCCCCUGAGGAGCAAGCGGAGCAUCAGCAGCCAUCAGAAGUGGCCUCACCAACAGCGGGAGGACGGGAAGGACUACAUCCCCUCCAGGGACAGAGUUCAAACCACAGAAGGUCCCUGGGAGGGACCCAGGGAGGAGCUGGGGGCCGCGUGUCCGUGGGCUCACGGGACGCAGACAGAGGAGGGACGAUGCUGGAGACUGACGGCCGUGAUGCCCUGCAGGACGGGCUGGUCGUUCGUUCAGGAAGGGAGGACGGCACGGAGCCUCUGCUGCAGGUCAGGCUGCCCUGGAGUCAGGUGACUCACUCUGCGUGAUGACCCGAUGAGGUCGGCCUCGUGGCCUCCCAGGUAAACAGAAACAAACAAUCCUGACUCAAGUCUAAAAUGCACGUCGGCCCAUUUGACAGGUAAACUUGCUUUUUAAAUGGUGAGUCGAAACAAGCAAGUGGCAAGUCUCCCCGAUGUUUAAAAAUGAUCUUAUUUUUGAUUGAAGAACAGUGGAUGUGCCGUGUCAUGUUAGGUUCUGGUGGACCGCGCAGGGAUGCAGCGGCAUGGAUGCAUUGGUACUUUUUCAUAUUCUUCUCCGUUUCGGUUUGUUACAGAAUACUGGAUGUAUUUCCACGAAUGGAAUACAUUGAAUAUAGUGCCCUGUGCUGCGCGGUAAGACCUGGUUGUUUACCUGUUUUAAGUGUAGGAGUUCGUACCUGCCAACCCUGAACUCCUCAUUUAUCCCCCCACCCCCUUCCCCUUUGGUAACCCCGGGAAACUUUUUUUCUAUGUCUGUGAGCCUGUUUUUGUUUUGUAAAUAACUUCAUUUGUAUCAUUUUUUAAGAGUCCACAUAUAAGUGAUAUCAUGUGAUAUUUGUCUUUCUCUGUCUUAGUAUGAUAAUCUCUAGAUCCACCCAUGUUGCUGCAAAGGGCACUAUUUCACUCUUUUUUAUGUCUGAGUAAUAUUCCAGGGCAUAUACGGACCAUGUCUUCCUUAUGUAUUCAUCUCGUGAUGGACAUUUAGGUUGUUUCCAUGUCUUGGCUCUUGUAACUAGUGCUGCUGUGAACAUAGGAGUGCAGGUAUCUUUUUGAGUUAUCAUUUUCCCAGGGGGCAUGCCCAGAGGUGGGAUUGCUGGAUCAUAUGGUAACUCUCUUGUAGUUUUUUUUGUUUGUUUGUUUGAAGGCCACACCUGCAGCAUAUAGAAGUUCCUGGGUUAGGGGCUGAAUCAGAGCCUCAUCUGCCGGCCUGUGCCAUAGCCCCAGCAACACUGGAUCUGAGCUGCAUCCUUAACCUAAUGCAUGAGGUUAACGUGCAUCCUCAUGGUUACAAUGCUGGGUGCUUAACCCGCUGAGCCACUGCAGGAACUCCUACUUUAGUUUGGUAAGGAACCUCCACGCUGUUUUUCCUACGGCGGCUGGACCAGUUUACAUUCCCACUAACAGUGCAGCAGGGCUUCCUUUUCUCCACACCGUCUCCAGGAUUCCUUGUUAGUAGACUUUUUAAUGAUGGCCAUUUCGGUCCAAGCGUAAGGUGACAUGUCAUUGUGGUUUUGGUUUGCGUUUCUCUAAUGCUCAACGAUGCCGAGCAUCUUUUCAUGUGCCUCUUGGCCAUCCGCGUGUCUUCUUUAGAGAAGUGUCUGUUGAGGUCUUCUGCCCAUUUUUUGAUUCGUUGUUUAAUUUUGAUACUGAGAUGUAUGAGCUAUUUUGGAAAGGAAGCCCCUGUUGGUCACGUAGUUUGCAAAUAUUUUCUCCAUUUUUUGGUGGGUUGUCUUUUUGUUUGGGUCCUUGCUUUUGUUUUAAGUUUAGUGAAGGGAGCUUUUCAAGUUCAUUUUAGGUUUCACCCUUUAUUUGGUAUCUGCCAUAUCUUUUCAUUUCUGGGAAAACCUUGGGAGUUAAGACUACUAUCCCCUUGGAGUUCCCAUCGUGGCGCAGUGGUUAACGAAUCCGACUAAGAAGCAUGAGGUUGCGGGUUCGAUCCCUGCCCUUGCCCAGUGGGUUAAGGAUCCGGCGUUGCCGUGAGCUGUGGUGUAGGUCGCAGACAUGGCUCGGAUCCGGUGUUGCUGUGGCUGUGGUGUAGGCCGGCGGCUACAGCUCUGAUUCGACCCCUAGCCUGGGAACCUCCAUAUGCUGCGGAAGCAGCCCUAGAAAAG
RNAcentral lists this long non-coding RNA (3622 nucleotides) under Sus scrofa (pig). RNAcentral's name for it is "lncRNA (ENSSSCG00065007940.1)". Lineage: Eukaryota; Metazoa; Chordata; Mammalia; Artiodactyla; Suidae. The record is from RNAcentral.